RNAcentral lists this ribosomal RNA (253 nucleotides) under uncultured bacterium. RNAcentral describes it as "partial 16S ribosomal RNA". It matches the Rfam family "Bacterial small subunit ribosomal RNA", at positions 524 to 776 of the family's 1533-position model. The record is from RNAcentral.
UACGUAAGGGGCAAGCGUUGUCCGGAAUCACUGGGCGUAAAGCGCACGUAGGCGGUUUGUCAAGUUGGGGGUGUAAGCUCUAGGCUUAACCUAGAAAUUGCCUCCAAAACUAGCAUACUUGAGUAUUAGAGGGGAAGCUGGAAUUCCCGGUGUAGAGGUGAAAUUCGUAGAUAUCGGGAGGAACACCAGUGGCGAAGGCGGCGAUCUGGGAAGAUACUGACGCUGAGGUGCGAAAGCGUGGGGAGCAAACAGG